GGUGGGACUCCAGAACCUGAGCACGGCUGCUUUGCUGUGCAGGCAAGGAAGGGCUUGGGCUGCUCCACUCCCCUGCUUUGCUUUGGGAUCACUGUGAUUUUGGGGGACAGUGCAGGGGGGAAGGGAGAAAGCAUGGGCUUCCCUCACCCGUGGGUGGGUUUUUCCCUAGAAUGGAGGGGUUGGGCCUUCCUUAAACUCCUGACAGACAUAAGAUUUUUUACCAUUUUUCUUCUUUCCCCUUUUUGUCUGUAACCUAUUUUCAUUAAUUUGUUGUUUGUUUUUCUAAAGGAAGAAUUCUAGGUGGGGUCCAGUCUGGAUCGGGAAGUGCUUGGGACCAGCUGUGGUGUGGAUGGGCCGUGCCCUUGGAGAAGGCUGAGGACAUCGUUUGGGACCAGCUUUUCUUCUGGCAGCAGAUGGUGUGAGCCGGGCUCUGCGGAUGCUGAGGCUGCUCUGGGCUCUGCCAGGGCUCUGCUGGGCUCAGCACCGGGCCGGGAUCAGCCAAAGAAGAAAUGAUGUGACCUCCAGCAGAGACUUGAGCAUUUUGGCAAUGCAGCUCAAGUCUGCAGAGUGUCCACCUCCAAAGGAAAACAUGACACCUCCCCCAAAAUUAAACUUGUUCCAUAACUUCUGAAAUGACAUCAAUCUGGGAUGACCCCAAAUGUCAUUCUUCAGCUUUC
Non-coding RNA from Cyanistes caeruleus (blue tit), 677 nucleotides. The record is from RefSeq and is a predicted model, not a curated record. Lineage: Eukaryota; Metazoa; Chordata; Aves; Passeriformes; Paridae.